RNAcentral lists this ribosomal RNA (253 nucleotides) under uncultured bacterium. Its description in RNAcentral is "partial 16S ribosomal RNA". It matches the Rfam family "Bacterial small subunit ribosomal RNA", at positions 524 to 776 of the family's 1533-position model. The record is from RNAcentral.
UACGUAGGGUGCGAGCGUUAAUCGGAAUUACUGGGCGUAAAGCGUGCGCAGGCGGCGCGUUAAGACAGGUGUGAAAGCCCCGUGCUUAACUUGGGAAUUGCGCUUGUGACUGGCGAGCUGGAGUGUGGCAGAGGGAGGUGGAAUUCCACGUGUAGCAGUGAAAUGCGUAGAGAUGUGGAGGAACACCGAUGGCGAAGGCAGCCUCCUGGGCCAGCACUGACGCUCAUGCACGAAAGCGUGGGGAGCAAACAGG